GCUUCUGGGGGGCUAUCCCUUAGAUCCGGUACUAAUGCUCAUAUUAGUACCGGGUCAAAAACCAACCGAUACUUAUUAGGACCAAUGCUCAAUUUUCCAGCAGUGAUCGAUUUCUUAGGUAAUUAGCCUGUGUUGACUUAUUUGGAUUCUUAACCUCUUAACCUGUUCUGACUUGCAACACUUGUAAAUGGUAAAGGUUAUGCUCCUCCCUCCGUCCACGUUUAAUAACAAGAAUUCAG
Molecule: long non-coding RNA, 239 nt
Filed under: Setaria italica (foxtail millet)
Lineage: Eukaryota; Viridiplantae; Streptophyta; Magnoliopsida; Poales; Poaceae
Description: long non-coding RNA (SITA_LNC006626)
Source: RNAcentral